CACGUAGGGCGCAAGCGUUGUCCGGAAUUAUUGGGCGUAAAGAGCUCGUAGGCGGUCCGUCACGUCCGCUGUGAAAACCCAGGGCUCAACCCUGGGCUUGCAGUGGAUACGGGCAGACUAGAGGUAGGUAGGGGAGAAUGGAAUUCCCGGUGUAGCGGUGAAAUGCGCAGAUAUCGGGAGGAACACCGGUGGCGAAGGCAGAUCUCUGGGCCGUAACUGACGCUGAGGAGCGAAAGCAUGGGGAGCGAACAGG
This 253-nucleotide ribosomal RNA is filed under the name uncultured bacterium. RNAcentral's name for it is "partial 16S ribosomal RNA". It matches the Rfam family "Bacterial small subunit ribosomal RNA", at positions 524 to 776 of the family's 1533-position model. The record is from RNAcentral.